UACAGAGGGGGCAAGCGUUGUUCGGAAUUACUGGGCGUAAAGGGCGCGUAGGCGGCGCAACAAGUCACUUGUGAAAUCUCCGGGCUUAACCCGGAGCGGCCAAGUGAUACUGUCGUGCUAGAGUGCGGAAGGGGGCUACUGGAAUUCUCGGUGUAGCGGUGAAAUGCGUAGAUAUCGAGAGGAACACCUGCGGCGAAGGCGGGUAGCUGGGCCGACACUGACGCUGAGGGACGAAAGCUAGGGGAGCGAAUGGG
RNAcentral lists this ribosomal RNA (254 nucleotides) under uncultured bacterium. Its description in RNAcentral is "partial 16S ribosomal RNA". It matches the Rfam family "Bacterial small subunit ribosomal RNA", at positions 524 to 776 of the family's 1533-position model. The record is from RNAcentral.